RNAcentral lists this ribosomal RNA (254 nucleotides) under uncultured bacterium. RNAcentral describes it as "partial 16S ribosomal RNA". It matches the Rfam family "Bacterial small subunit ribosomal RNA", at positions 524 to 776 of the family's 1533-position model. The record is from RNAcentral.
UACGUAGGCAGCGAGCGUUGUUCGGAGUUACUGGGCGUAAAGGGUGUGUAGGCGGUUGUUUAAGUUUGGUGUGAAAUCUCCCGGCUCAACUGGGAGGGUGCGCCGAAUACUGAAUGACUUGGAGUGCGGGAGAGGUGAGUGGAAUUCCUGGUGUAGCGGUGAAAUGCGUAGAUAUCAGGAGGAACACCUGUGGUGUAGACAGCUUACUGGACCACUUCUGACGCUGAGACACGAAAGCGUGGGUAGCAAACAGG